GACAGAGGGUGCGAGCGUUAAUCGGAAUUACUGGGCGUAAAGCGCACGUAGUCGGCUUGUCAAGUCGGGUGUGAAAUCCCCGGGCUCAACCUGGGAACUGCAUCCGAAACUGACUUGCUAGAGUAUGGGAGAGGGAGGCGGAAUUUCUGGUGUAGCAGUGAAAUGCGUAGAUAUCAGAAGGAACAUCAGUGGCGAAGGCGGCCUCCUGGACCAAUACUGACGAUCAGGUGCGAAAGCGUGGGGAGCAAACAGG
Molecule: ribosomal RNA, 253 nt
Filed under: uncultured bacterium
Lineage: Bacteria
Description: partial 16S ribosomal RNA
Rfam family: Bacterial small subunit ribosomal RNA
Source: RNAcentral